GUGAGCAGAGCACGGGCCCAUGGGCCCCACGUGUUCACGGUUCGUGAGGCCACUCAUGCAUGUGCCGAGGUUGCCCACAGAGCCACACACUCACAGAUCACAAUUGGGGCCUAAUCCUUGGGAGCAGCUAGUUAGAAAUGUGAGAGCUAUCAGCUGUAGCAAAUGGUUGGUUUGGAAAGAGGAAAUUAGAGAAGACCCGUCAUCUGACGAACCUUCUGCUGUCUGCCAUCAGAAAUAAAAUGGAGCUAUAUACGGAGACAGACGUGUAUUUUUCAAGCUCCAGUGGAUGACAAACAAUCGGAUGAAGAAGACGACCAGAGAACUCUUUGGUAUAUUUUUAUUUUCUUUAUUUUGCCUUGUGUUAAAUUGUCCUUCUAUUGUACUACCAAUUGUUUUUCUUGAUAUGAAUCAGAUAUGAGACACCUUUAUGGUGUCUUACUCGAAAAAAACAAUCUAAUAAUCUAUCUUUUAAUUUGGGGUUAAUUA
Molecule: long non-coding RNA, 486 nt
Organism: Panicum virgatum (switchgrass)
Lineage: Eukaryota; Viridiplantae; Streptophyta; Magnoliopsida; Poales; Poaceae
Exons: 2
Source: RefSeq, a predicted model, not a curated record